GUGUGUGUCAUGUAGCCUGUCUAGCAGCUGUUUAAUUGUCACCCUUAACCUUUUUUGUAGGUGUCAGAUUGCUG
Long non-coding RNA from Etheostoma cragini (Arkansas darter), 74 nucleotides. RefSeq lists it as uncharacterized. NCBI's taxonomy places the organism in Eukaryota, Metazoa, Chordata, Actinopteri, Perciformes, Percidae. The transcript has 4 exons. The record is from RefSeq and is a predicted model, not a curated record.